This 682-nucleotide long non-coding RNA is filed under the name Homo sapiens (human). RNAcentral's name for it is "non-protein coding LINC00174:8". Lineage: Eukaryota; Metazoa; Chordata; Mammalia; Primates; Hominidae. The record is from RNAcentral.
CGGCGACGUCACAGUGGCGCUACAGUGCCUGGAGCUGCGCUGGUUUUUCCUCGGAGUGGAGCCUGGUAACCGCGACUUCCCCGCCAUGUUCUGUGUGUUGCUGGCUGGAGAAGGGUGGUUGACAAACUCCGACCCAGCACAGUGUUUCUGUGGGUCAAAACUAGAAAACUAUGUCCAGGCUCGGCCGAGGCGGAAGGAUCCGUUCAGGCCAGGAGUUAAAGAGCUGCCUGGGCAACAUGGCGCGACCCCAUCUCUGUAGUCCCACCUCAGCUUCCCAGAUACUUGAACCCCAAGGUUCAAGGCUGCAAUGAGCUAUGAUCCCAUCACAGCACUCCAUCCUGCGAGACGGAGGACCUGCGGAGCAGCCAGGCUUCAUGAGUUAAAUGCAGAUCUGAACCAUACCCAGUUGGGAUUGGGGUACACACUCUACUCCUCUGAAAACUAGCUAGGGGUUCGAACUUGGUGAGAGGGAGAGUGGGACAGAGCCAGACCAGACAAGGACUGAUCACCUGGAAAAACCUGCCAUCAAAGACCUUGACGAGUGCUGGGGGCGGUGGCUCAUGCCUGUAAUCCCAACACUUUGGGAGGCUGAGACAGGUGGAUCACUUGAGGCCAGGAGUUCGAGUCCCGCCUGGGCAACAUGGCAAAACCCUGUCUCUACUAAAAAUACAAAAAUUAGCUA